CGUCCGAUUAGCUUGCCGCGGGGUAACGGCCCACCGGGGCUACGAUCGGUAGGGGUUCUGAGAGGAAGGUCCCCCACAUUGGUACUGAGACACGGACCAAACUCCUACGGGAGGCAGCAGUGAGGAAUAUUGGUCAAUGGGCGUGAGCCUGAACCAGCCAAGUAGCGUGCAGGAAGACGGCCCUACGGGUUGUAAACUGCUUUUGCCGGGGAAUAAAGUUCGCCACGCGUGGCGUUUUGUAUGUACCCGGAGAAUAAGGACCGGCUAAUUCCGUGCC
This 277-nucleotide ribosomal RNA is filed under the name uncultured bacterium. RNAcentral describes it as "partial 16S ribosomal RNA". It matches the Rfam family "Bacterial small subunit ribosomal RNA", at positions 234 to 509 of the family's 1533-position model. The record is from RNAcentral.